Long non-coding RNA from Ooceraea biroi (clonal raider ant), 669 nucleotides. RefSeq lists it as uncharacterized. The record is from RefSeq and is a predicted model, not a curated record. NCBI's taxonomy places the organism in Eukaryota, Metazoa, Arthropoda, Insecta, Hymenoptera, Formicidae.
AAAAUAAAUUUGUACAAAACUUAUCUUUUCCGUUAAAAGGGGAAAAAAAGAUGCCAAGUUCACGCGCUACUUGGUCGAAUCGCAAAAGUGGUCGAGGAAAAAUGUUGUUAGUUGUUAUUGAUAUCUGAUAAUCGAUGAGACGCGGAACAAGUUGCUUCGUGUAUAAGAUCCAUGGAGCAGUCUCGCAGCACGAGCAUCGCUGCACGCGUGAACUUGGCGUGAAACACUACCUUGAUGUGUCUCUUGAUACACCCAUUACUUUUUUUAAUAUGCAUAAAUUCGCGUAAAAUUAAAAGUUGAAUUGUGAGUGGAAUAUAAUUGAGGUCACACGAGAUGCAAAGCAAUAGGAUUUUACUAUUAGAUUACGAUGUUUAGAAAAUUACACAAACGUCUGAGAACGAUAAUUAUUUGCAUGUACAACCAUGUAUGGUAGGACAGACUUUACGACUGAAUCGAAGGCCGCGAGAUCAAGAACCUCGAUGAUAUGGUCCACGCAUUGCAUCUUCUGGGAGUGUGAGAGCGUGUCCGGAAGCCGCAAUCUUGCCUGGUACUGCAAAAUGUAAAUCAUCAACUUGAGCCACAAAGCUGUAAAAAAUUUAAUACCUGAAGGACCCAUGACGGCCAAUAAUUCACCCGGUUUGACGACUCCUGAAACAUCUCGUAAGAGUG